Molecule: long non-coding RNA, 1094 nt
Filed under: Gallus gallus (chicken)
Lineage: Eukaryota; Metazoa; Chordata; Aves; Galliformes; Phasianidae
Description: lncRNA (ENSGALG00010028946.1)
Source: RNAcentral
CCCGCAUCGCUUCCGUGCUUUCAUCAUAAGCGAAGGAAAUGGACGACUCCCUGAUCCACGUCUUAGGAAACCAACACCAGGGUCACCCAGUGGGGUUAUUUGAAUAAUGGAGAAGUGAAGAUGUCUCUUGUGCAGCCAGGCUGGGUCAGCCUCUCUCUCAGGCACUGCAUGAUUGGAAGCAGGAGACGUUUCCCCUAGGCUGCCUCCAGACUGGGGUCCUUGGAGUCACUGGGGUCAUUAGGGUCAAUUUGGCAAUAGGGGUCUUUGGGGUCAAUGGGGUCAUUGGUGUCAGUGUACUCAUUGAAGUCAAUAGAGUUAAUGGGGUCAAUGGGGUCAUUGGCAUCGAUGUACUCAUUGUAUUCAAUAGAGUUUAUGGCGUCCUUGGGUGUCAUUGGAGUCAAAUGGGUCAUUGAGGUCAAUGGGGGUCAUUGGGGUCAAUGGGGUCAUUGUGGACAAUGGGGUCAUUGUGGUCCACCGUGUCAUUGGAGUCAAUGGGGUCAUUGGGGUCAAUGGGGUCUUUGAAGUCAAUAGAGUUAAUGGGGUCAUUAAUUUCAACGGGAGUCAUUGGGGUCAAUGGGGGCACUGGGGCAAUGGGAGUCAUUUGGGUCAAUGGGGGUUAUUGGGUUUAAUGGGGGCAUUGACGUCAAUGGGCUUAAUGUGGUCAAUGGGGCUUAUUGGAGUCAAAGGGGACAUUGGGAUUAAUGGGGUCAGUGGCGUCAAUAGGGUCAUAUGAGGUUAAUGGGGUCAAUGGGGUAAGUAGGGUUAAUGGGUUGUUGGGUUCAUAUGGGGUGAUGCGUAUCAUUAGGAACUUUGGGAUCGGUGGGGUCAGUGGGGUCAUGCAGGGUCAUUGGGGUCAAUGGGGCCAUGUGGGAUUAUUGGGAUCAUUGGGGUCAGUGGGGUUAUGGAGUUCAUGUAAGGUCACUGGGGUCACUGGGUCAAAGGGGUCAGUGGGGUCAGUGGAGUCAAUGGGGUUAUUGCAGGCCAGAAGGGUUUGGGCUUCCAAGCAAUCACCAAGCUUUUGGAUGAGCCAGCCCUCUGCUUUUUGUGAGGACAGACCCCAACGAGCCCACAGAACCCAAAUAACCUCCUUGACC